GAAUUCGCCCUUCCUACGGGGGGCAGCAGUGGGGAAUCUUGCGCAAUGGGCGAAAGCCUGACGUAGCAACGCCGCGUGAAUGAUGAAGGCCUUCGGGUCGUAAAGUUCUGUCAGGGGGGACGAUAAUGACGGUACCCCCGGAGGAAGCCCCGGCUAACUACGUGCCAGCAGCCGCGGUAAUA
Molecule: ribosomal RNA, 182 nt
Filed under: uncultured bacterium
Lineage: Bacteria
Description: partial 16S ribosomal RNA
Rfam family: Bacterial small subunit ribosomal RNA
Source: RNAcentral